Molecule: non-coding RNA, 94 nt
Filed under: uncultured Garciella sp.
Lineage: Bacteria; Bacillati; Bacillota; Clostridia; Eubacteriales; Eubacteriaceae
Description: Purine riboswitch
Rfam family: Purine riboswitch aptamer
About the family: Riboswitches are metabolite binding domains within certain messenger RNAs that serve as precision sensors for their corresponding targets. Allosteric rearrangement of mRNA structure is mediated by ligand binding, and this results in modulation of gene expression. A class of riboswitches that selectively recognises guanine and becomes saturated at concentrations as low as 5 nM.
Source: RNAcentral
AAAUAUGUAAGUGUUAUCUUGUAUAUCAUUAGAAAUAAGGUCUAAUAGUCUCUACCGGGUUACCGUAAAUUACCUGACUACAAGAAUCAUUUAA